UUAAAUAGUUUAAUGUGAUUUACUCUGUCAUGGAUGCGUUUGUCUUAGUGUAUUUUGCAUUACUUUUGUUGUAGAUUAAAUGGCAUCUAGCAACACCACACCAUUUUGUUGGAGGUAUGCCCUAGAUAAAAACACGUAAUGCGACGAUUUCAUCUCAUUCGAGACUUCAUUAACCGGGGUGAGAUCAAGAUAUGCAAAAUACACACGGAUCUGAACAUUUUUGAUCUAUUGACAAAACCACUCCUGCAGUGCAUGUAAGAGCUAUGGGUAUUAGGUACCUUCUAGAUUGACUCUAGUGCAAGUGGGAGACUGUUGGAGGUAUGCCCUACAGGCAAUCAUAGAGGUGAUGAUAUCUGAUUGUAUCCAUGAUUUGUAUAUUAUGUUCCUUGAAUAUCCAUUAAAGGCUACUUGAAUUAAUUUGCAAUUAUGUGAAUUGUAUGUGAAACUCUUUACUUGUAUGGUUAUUCUAAAAAGUUGUCCCUAGUCGGAGUUCAUGUGUGGACACACAUGAAUAUUAGACUAGUACAUGUAUUAGUUGAUGACUAUGUUUCACAAGUCAUGGACAUGGAGAUGUCAAACUAAUGAUGUAGGCAUAUGUAGAGACAUGUGCUAGGACUGACCCAACAUGAGAAGUAGUUCUCUCUUUACAGAACAAGUACGCUUUGU
This 666-nucleotide long non-coding RNA is filed under the name Setaria viridis. Its description in RNAcentral is "long non-coding RNA (SVIR_LNC009397)". Lineage: Eukaryota; Viridiplantae; Streptophyta; Magnoliopsida; Poales; Poaceae. The record is from RNAcentral.